AACGAACGCUGGCGGCAGGCCUAACACAUGCAAGUCGAGCGAGGUAGCAAUACCUAGCGGCGGACGGGUGAGUAACGCGUGGGAACGUGCCCUUUGCUACGGAAUAGCCCUGGGAAACUGGGAGUAAUACCGUAUGUGCCCUUCGGGGGAAAGAUUUAUCGGCAAAGGAUCGGCCCGCGUUGGAUUAGGUAGUUGGUGGGGUAAUGGCCUACCAAGCCGACGAUCCAUAGCUGGUUUGAGAGGAUGAUCAGCCACACUGGGACUGAGACACGGCCCAGACUCCUACGGGAGGCAGCAGUGGGGAAUCUUAGACAAUGGGCGCAAGCCUGAUCUAGCCAUGCCGCGUGAGCGAUGAAGGCCUUAGGGUUGUAAAGCUCUUUCAGACGGAAAGAAAUCGCAUCUUCUAAUACAGGGUGUGGAUGACGGCACCGUAAGAAGAAGCACCGGCUAACUACGUGCCAGCAGCCGCGGUAAAGUACAGUGU
This 484-nucleotide ribosomal RNA is filed under the name uncultured bacterium. RNAcentral describes it as "bacterial SSU rRNA". It matches the Rfam family "Bacterial small subunit ribosomal RNA", at positions 29 to 533 of the family's 1533-position model. The record is from RNAcentral.